This is a long non-coding RNA of Pan troglodytes (chimpanzee), 299 nucleotides long. RefSeq lists it as uncharacterized. NCBI's taxonomy places the organism in Eukaryota, Metazoa, Chordata, Mammalia, Primates, Hominidae. The record is from RefSeq and is a predicted model, not a curated record. The transcript is spliced from 3 exons.
UUAGCAGCUGAAGACUGACGCUGCCCGAUCGCCUCGGAAGCCCCCUAGACCAUCACGGACGCCGAGCUUCAAGUAACUCUCACAGUGGAAGACAAUGGAGCAUGGCAGCAAGAUAUUCUGUGGAAUAUGGUGUUUGGGGCUGUGAUGUAGUCCAUGAUAUCCAUCUUCUUCAGUGUGAUAUAUUUCACCCUGUGCAAUGAGAGGAAAAAAGUUCUGCAUCCAGCAUCCCAGAGCUACGUAUAAUGGUGAUUCCAUUACAACAGAGACUAUUUAAGUAAGAAAGAUAGGUUCCCUUCAUG